GGGAUUACAGGCGUGAGCCACCGCCCCUCGCCAGAAAUCUUUCUAAAACACAAAUACCUGUUUAACAUAUUUCUGCCUUGCUCCCAUCAUCCACUCUAAACUCUUCAGUGCAGUAUACAAGAUUCUUCACUCCACACCUCCUGUUCCAGUCCCACGUGAAUUCCCCAAGACUGAUCAUGCAGGACACCACUGCCUCCCUCCUGAUCACGCAGGACACCGCUGCCUCCCUCCUGAUCACGCAAGACACCGCUGCCUCCCUCCUGAUCACGCAGGACACCACUGCCUCCCUCCUGAUCACGCAGGUGUCGACACUGCUGCCUCCCUCCUGCGCAUCCUUUCAAGGGUGUCACUCGGUUCAGAAGAAGGGAGUUAUGCAGAGAGCUAUCCCACACAGCCUCAAAGCGGUAGAAGGUCCUAAGGUCAGAAAGACAAGAGGGAAUCAUCCAAAAGAAGCUAAAGUCACGUUAGUCCAGGUACUGCCACUGUCAAUCAUCCUAAAGAACCAUACGCC
RNAcentral lists this long non-coding RNA (511 nucleotides) under Homo sapiens (human). RNAcentral describes it as "LNC_000265". Lineage: Eukaryota; Metazoa; Chordata; Mammalia; Primates; Hominidae. The record is from RNAcentral.